GGGGAAUAUUGCACAAUGGGCGAAAGCCUGAUGCAGCAACGCCGCGUGAGUGAUGAAGGUCUUCGGAUUGUAAGGCUCUGUCUUUUGGGACGAUAAUGACGGUACCAAAGGAGGAAGCCACGGCUAACUACGUGCCAGCAGCCGCGGUAAUACGUAGGUGGCGAGCGUUGUCCGGAUUUACUGGGCGUAAAGGGUGCGUAGGCGGAUGUUUAAGUGAGAUGUGAAAUACCCGGGCUUAACUUGGGUGCUGCAUUUCAAAGCUGGAUAUCUAGAGUGCAGGAGAGGAGAAUGGAAUUCCUAGUGUAGCGGUGAAAUGCGUAGAGAUUAGGAAGAACACCAGUGGCGAAGGCGAUUCUCUGGACUGUAACUGACGCUGAGGCACGAAAGCGUGGGUAGCAAACAGGAUUAGAUACCCUGGUAGUCCACGCCGUAAA
Molecule: ribosomal RNA, 434 nt
Filed under: uncultured bacterium
Lineage: Bacteria
Description: partial 16S ribosomal RNA
Rfam family: Bacterial small subunit ribosomal RNA
Source: RNAcentral